Ixodes scapularis (black-legged tick) is the source of this 3632-nucleotide long non-coding RNA. RefSeq lists it as uncharacterized. The record is from RefSeq and is a predicted model, not a curated record. The transcript has 2 exons. NCBI's taxonomy places the organism in Eukaryota, Metazoa, Arthropoda, Arachnida, Ixodida, Ixodidae.
AUCAAUAGGGAACCGAAAAAUGCCAGACAGCGGGCAACGUCUGCGCAGAAUUCUGGCCGCGCACACAAGACUGGUGUGGAUUUAGCAUUGACUGGACCUGCAUCAGCUGCAGGGAGUAACGGAGCCCAUCAGGGAGAAAAUCUGAGCGCUCUCGUGCAGCUCGACAAAGUGUGUCCUCGCUCGAGCAACAAACGUGAUGUGAGAUUGAGCAGAGGAAGUGCAGAGGAAGCCUGCAAGGGCCAAGAGGCACUCACGCAGUCGCUGCUAAAAUCAACACGGCCAUCAGCAGAGCAUUCCAGUGCAGCAACGUUGCGGCAAUCCAGAAAACGGGACCCCAACCUCUUCGGUGACAGCGACGCAGAUGGCACUUUCGACAGGGAGCUAGAACGGCGCGUGCGUGACGUCGUCGCCGACGUUUGGGACGCCUUUCGUCGCCCGGUACCAAAGAAAUAACUGUGCAGUGCGUCUCGCACGUCACUACGUCUCGUCGUCGUGUUGUUUCCCGACCAGACAUCGUUGACGAAACCCCGAGUCCUGCUCUUCGAAAUGUGCAUAGUUUCCAGGGAGACCCCAGAGAUGGCCACACCACAAUAACAACUCUAGACAAAAACAAAAAGUGCUUCAGUGGAUUUUUUUGUCGAUUCAUGCCAUUCCUGCAUUUAUUAUUGUUGAUCGUGCGUGUUUGUAUGUGUUUUUGUGCGUGCAUGCAUGUGACGAUGGGCAACUCGAAGGUUUGGAAGCUGCGAACGAGAUUGGCCCUGGUGGUGCUUUUCUGCACAUCGUGCAGGAGUUGUAGUUUAUUCUGGGACGGUGCCGACACUGCGUCGCCCCACAAACUGUUAGGUGAUGUGGAUGACGGCGAGGGUAAUUUAUUUUAGAUAAAACGUGUCCGGGAAAACGAAGGAGACGACGUAGACGACGUAGAAUGUCAAACGAUUUGGAACCAUGCCACAUUCUAUUCUGCAUAGUCUUUACCUCAGCGACCAUACGAUCAGGUGCGACGUCUGGAAAAGUGGAACAACGAGUCACAUAUUUUAGCUUCUGCUAUGGUGGGCGCAGACCUGUGCCAUACCACAUGUUGUCUGCUCCAGCUGUGUUGUGAUUUUUCUCGUUAAUUUAUGAGUGCGGCAUGCACAACAGUGCUGCAAGUACUACCCGCCUGCCAUGUGAACGCUGUUACGAGUCUUAUUUAUUACUAGGUGGCCUUGUAGCACCCACUGACGACCACCAUGCAUCAACCUUCUGUUUUGUCUUAGAGGUUAGCUGAUAUUCAACCAAGUACUGUGACAAGCUCUUGGCAGUUUCACACUCUGGCAAUCGGCCAGCACAUCGGCAUCUUCGCGUAGUAAUUGUAACAAAAUAUUAAAACUCCCAAUUUCAUCUGAACGUUUAAGAGUACCAAUAGUUGCAUGGAGCAGCUUUGCAGUGAUGUCUUAGCAACCAUGAUUGUACUCAAGGCAUGAGGAAAAAUCACAAUUAUUGGAAAAUGGCACAUUCAUAGCUGGUACUCGAAAGGGUGUGUGCCGAGAGCUUCUGCCAAACUGGCUACAAGAUGUUUGCGGUCUUCUGGUAGUGACGUGUAAUAUCAUCUCAAGUUGGUUAUUGGCAGAGGAUUACCCCAAAACAAUUUCUUGGAAUCUUACAUAGUUUUUGCCUAUAAAAUGUUCAAUGGAAAGUAUAAAUCCUGGCAAACAUUUUGAGAACUGGGCUAAAUCACAGCUAUUUGGACAAGUUUUAUAAAAGGCACUAUAUGAAGAUCAUUGGACAUAUAUCAAGCAGUAAGCUAUUCCUCCAACCAAAUCAGAUAGACAGCAUGUUCACCUUCUGAUACGUUAGCGUGGAUGUACUAAGGCCCAUAACAGGCUUCGUUUCUUUCAGAAAAGCCUAAAAUCAUCGAGAGGAAAAAGCUAUGUGCAGUUAAUGCUGAAAAACAACAGAUAUAACUGGAAAUGGGCCAAGGAAAUAAGUGCCCAAGUAACACAACAGGUAGUCGCAAUUCAUAGCAUAAUCGCAACUCGACCUUGAUCUCACGUUCCUCUCGAUGUCUAUGUCCGCAUACUUCUGCAAAAAGCUCCACAGCUGGCCAGCCUUUCAUGUGCAGAGCUUGCGGUGUUUGUGUUAAAGUCACGCUUCACAGUCCUGCCUUGCGAGUCUUCGUAACUGCAUCGCAGCCGCUUCACCUUCUCAAGACGUGCGUUCAGGCAGGCAGUAUUUCUUUCCAUGUCUCGCACUAAUAAUGUGCGUGGAAAAAGCCACACUUAACAUGGGAGUUUUCAUGAGAGUCGUGUUUAAUAUACUAGGUUCUUCUACUGCCUUCAAUGUUUUUUUCCCUUUCAAUUUUUGUGUGAUUCAUUGCAUCUGUGUGGAUCUGUAAUGAAGGGUGAAAACAAAAUUCAGAAAGCACAUUUUUCUUGUAAUUAACAACAGGCCGCUGCCAGUGCGAAUUUCAAGAGGAUGUAUAUAUAGGUUGACAACAAUUUGUUUCUGUGUAUAUAUAUAUUUCUUUUUCCCAUCAGAUUUGUGUUGUUGUCGCGCUAGAAGUGAAAAAGGUGACUGAGAAACGUGUGCACUGUCAGGGACAAAGAUAGCUACCAGGAGUAUUUUCAGGAGGGCUGCAAAGCAUGACAAGGUGCCAGGCAGCCGGUUGCACACAUCAAUCUGUGCUGCAUGCCAUUUUUUUCUUUUAAACCCUAGAACUUGCUUUUUUAAUUGUACUAUACCUGUUAGGGCAGCCCACACAACCAUUGUGGACAAACAUUUACAAAGCUUGAGUACUGUUAACAACAGGCCUUUAAAUUACUACAGUAUAGUUAACACAUGCUGGGCACAAAUCUGAGCAAUUGUCAACUUGCCAGCUAAGCAUUUCACUGCCUUCAGAAACAGGUUUUGUGCUUUGAUCUACACACUUUUGUAAGGUUUUAACGACAAUCUAAAGUAUGUUGCAAUUCUGCCAGGGUGGCUUUGAUACGUGAGAAUGGGUAUCCUCACCCCAAAUAUCCCACGUCUUGCCACGAUUUAUAAACGAUGCACUGAAGAUCGCCAAGCGAGUGUGACAGUAUAUCCGUUUUUCUAUUUGAACUAAAGUUGCAUGUUUAGUGCGCGACAAAUUAAAAAAAAAAAAUUUUUCUGGUGGGCAGCGGCGACAUUUAAGGCUGUACUUGUGCACUCAGGGAGCAGAUGCGAACCACACACUGCCUAUUCUAGGUGAGAGGCAUGCCAAAAUGUUUAGAAUGCCACAAGAUCACUAAAAUAUGGCACAGUGCAGUCUUAAGUUUAGACUGCAUCGCUGGUGCUACAACAUUUUUCUAUUGGUUCCAACCUCUCAUGUAGUGAUCUAAUCCACGAUGUACAAGAUCGCAUGACAUGUUUGAUGCGAGCGCAGUUUGUGAUGCUUCGAUGUGCUUGUGUCGCAAACUCAGUCUUACACACAGAAAGUAAAACAUUAAUAAUUUGCCUAAAAAGUGGCUCCGCAGUGGUUUUUUUUUUCUUUUUACAUUGAAGUUGCCUGUUGUUCAUUUGUGCACUUGUUACGAUGAAACAAAGUCUCAUUCACUUGAACUGUGUGCCAUAUGUUUCAUAGCACAUUCUGAUGCAUUUUAUUUAUUAAAUAAAAGCCGGUUACGUCGAGAAGA